Molecule: ribosomal RNA, 565 nt
Filed under: uncultured marine eukaryote
Lineage: Eukaryota
Description: SSU rRNA
Rfam family: Eukaryotic small subunit ribosomal RNA
Source: RNAcentral
GGUUAAAAAGCUCGUAGUUGGAUUUCUGCUUACCAUCGACCGGUUUGUGCGUUGCACAUGAUUUGGUUCGAUGUGGGCAUCCUCCUGGGGAACGCCACUGUCCUUAAUUGCGGCAGGGUGUAAUUCAGGACUUUUACUAUGAGGAAAUUAGAGUGUUCACGGCAAGCAAUUGCUUGAAUACAUUAGCAUGGAAUAAUAAUAUAGGACCUUGGUUCUAUUUUGUUGGUUUCUAGAACUAAGGUAAUGAUUAAUAGGGACAAUUGGGGGCAUUCGUAUUGACGCGUCAGAGGUGGAAUUCUUAGAUUGCGUCACGACGAACUACUGCGAAAGCAUUUGCCAAGGAUGUUUUCAUUGAUCAAGAACGAAGGUAUGGGGAUCAAAGACGAUUAGAUACCGUCGUAGUCUAUACCAUAAACUAUGCCAACUAGGGAUUGGAGGUAGUUCGAUUUUUGUCUCCUUCAGCAUCUUAUGAGAAAUCAAAGUUUUUGGGUUCCGGGGGGAGUAUGGUCGCAAGGCUGAAACUUAAAGGAAUUGACGGAAGGGCACCACCAGGAGUGGAGCCUGC